Molecule: unclassified non-coding RNA, 213 nt
Filed under: Glomeraceae sp.
Lineage: Eukaryota; Fungi; Glomeromycota; Glomeromycetes; Glomerales; Glomeraceae
Description: partial contains 5.8S ribosomal RNA and internal transcribed spacer 2
Rfam family: 5.8S ribosomal RNA (bases 1-65)
Source: RNAcentral
GUGAAUCAUCAAAUUUUUGAACGCAAAUUGCACUCUCUUCGGAGAGGAUGCCUGUUUGAGGGUCAGUAUUAAUAAAAAUCGGUGUGUUGCUUCUUUGUGACGCUCCGGAGUCUGGGUCAUCUUAAUAUUCUUUUGGUUUUAAGAGGCUUAAAAUUGACUUUUUUUGAGCAUUUUAGAUUUACAUGACUUAUUUAUGUUUUUCUUUUGUUUUAU